RNAcentral lists this ribosomal RNA (428 nucleotides) under uncultured archaeon. Its description in RNAcentral is "bacterial SSU rRNA". It matches the Rfam family "Archaeal small subunit ribosomal RNA", at positions 474 to 903 of the family's 1478-position model. The record is from RNAcentral.
UACCAGCUCUCCGAGUGGUGUGGAUGUUUAUUGGGCCUAAAGCAUCCGUAGCUGGCUGGACAAGUCCCCUGUUAAAUCCACCGAUUUAAUCGUUGGUGUGCGGGGGAUACUGUUCGGCUAGGGGACGGGAGAGGCCGACGGUAUUUCCGGGGUAGGGGUGAAAUCCUAUAAUCCCGGGAAGACCACCAGUGGCGAAGGCUGUCGGCUAGAACGCGCCCGACGGUGAGGGAUGAAAGCUGGGGGAGCGAACCGGAUUAGAUACCCGGGUAGUCCCAGCUGUAAACGAUGCAGGCUAGGUGUUUGGGCGGCCACGUGCCGCUCUAGUGCCGCAAGGAAGCUGUUAAGCCUGCCGCCUGGGGAGUACGGCCGCAAGGCUGAACUUAAAGGAAUUGGCGGGGGAGCACCACAAGGGGUGAAGCUUGCGGUUU